GGAGGCUCGGGUUCGAUUCCCGGUACGGG
Molecule: small RNA, 29 nt
Filed under: Bombyx mori (domestic silkworm)
Lineage: Eukaryota; Metazoa; Arthropoda; Insecta; Lepidoptera; Bombycidae
Description: piRNA piR-bmo-1946994
Source: RNAcentral